GACGAACGCUGGCGGCGUGCUUAACACAUGCAAGUCGAACGGAAAGGCCCUGCUUUUGUGGGGUGCUCGAGUGGCGAGCGGGUGAGUAACACGUGAGUAACCUGCCCUUGACUUUGGGAUAACUUCAGGAAACUGGGGCUAAUACCGGAUAGGAGCUCCUGCUGCAUGGUGGGGGUUGGAAAGUUUCGGCGGUUGGGGAUGGACUCGCGGCUUAUCAGCUUGUUGGUGGGGUAGUGGCUUACCAAGGCUUUGACGGGUAGCCGGCAUGAGAGGGUGACCGGCCACCAUGGGACUGAGAUAGGGCCCAGACUCGUACGGGAGGCAGCAGGGGGGAAUAUUGCACAAUGGGCGGAAGCCUGAUGCAGAAAUGCCGCGUGCGGGAUGACGGCCUACGGGUGGUAAACCGCUGUCGCCUGUGACGAAGCGUGAGUGACGGUAAUGGGUAAAGAAGCACCGGCUAACUACGUG
RNAcentral lists this ribosomal RNA (468 nucleotides) under uncultured bacterium. RNAcentral's name for it is "partial 16S ribosomal RNA". It matches the Rfam family "Bacterial small subunit ribosomal RNA", at positions 28 to 507 of the family's 1533-position model. The record is from RNAcentral.